RNAcentral lists this long non-coding RNA (543 nucleotides) under Physcomitrium patens. RNAcentral's name for it is "long non-coding RNA (PPAT_LNC003980)". The record is from RNAcentral. Lineage: Eukaryota; Viridiplantae; Streptophyta; Bryopsida; Funariales; Funariaceae.
UUGAUUUAGGAUUUGUUUAGAGUUUGAUUUAAGAUUUGUUUAGAGUUUGAUUUAAGAUUUAAGAUUUGUCUAAGAUUUGGUUCAGGAUUUAGGAUUUGUUUAGGAUUUGAUUUAGGAUUUAUUUAGGAUUUGAUUUAAGGUUUAUAGCUUGUCUAGGAUUUGAUUUAGGGCUUAAUAUUUGUUUAGGAUUUGAUUUAGGAUUGAGAAUUUGCUUAGGAUUUAGAAUUUUGCCUAGGAUUUGAUUGAAGUCCAUUAGAAUUUCAAUUAGGAUUAAAUAAAGACUUGAUUGAGAUUUAUUUAAGAUGUAUUUUUUUUUGUUAUUCUAGUAUUCUUUAAGAUUUCUUAAGGAUUCUUUUAAGAUUUAUUGUAGAUUUCUUAUUGUUUCUUUUGUAAUUUCUUUCAAGUUUUUUUUGGAUUCAUUUAAAGCAUGGUUAAUAUUGUUAAUAUUUUAAUUAGAUUUAUUUAAUAUUCUAUUAGAAUUAGAAUUUUGUUGUUACAAUUUUUAUUCUACCUUCCACAAUCAGGUGCCUAGUGCAUUCUCAA